This 200-nucleotide unclassified non-coding RNA is filed under the name Helotiales sp. RNAcentral's name for it is "partial internal transcribed spacer 2". The record is from RNAcentral. Lineage: Eukaryota; Fungi; Ascomycota; Leotiomycetes; Helotiales.
UUAAGUUCAGCGGGUAUCCCUACCUGAUCCGAGGUCAACCUUAAAAGUUGGGGGUUGUUGGCCAGCAUCCCUCCGGAACCCUAUAGCGAGGAGAUUUACUACGCUUAGAGCCGGACGGCACCGCCACUGAUUUUAAGGCCCGCCCAGAGGCGAAGGCCCAAGACCCCGCAAGCGGGAGUGGUCAAAAUGACGCUCGAACA